AAUGUAUGACGCCGUUGACUUUUUUUGACUAACGUUUGACCAUUCGUUUUAUUUAAAAGAUUUAUGUAAUUAUUAUUAUUUCAUUGUGACUUGAUUUAUCAUCAAAUGUUUUAUAAGUAUGACAUAAUUUUUUUUAUACUUGCACAAAAGAAUUGAAUAAGACGAAUGAUCAAACGUUGGUCAAAAAGUCAACGGCAUCGUAUGUU
This is a non-coding RNA of Oryza glaberrima (African rice), 206 nucleotides long. The record is from Rfam. NCBI's taxonomy places the organism in Eukaryota, Viridiplantae, Streptophyta, Magnoliopsida, Poales, Poaceae.